GAAAGGAUUAAGAGGGCCAGGAUUGAUUAGCCAUGUUUGCUGUGGGUGAGGAGAGUGCUGGCAGCAUGUUUGUCACACAUUUGCCAUCUCCGAUCCAGUGACUCCCACCUCCUAUAUUCCACCCUCGCUUGAUCCUGGCUCUCCUCAGACCAUCUUCUUAUCUUCAAAGAGUUCCCAUGAGUCUGGACACAGUAGCAAGCGUCUGUAGUUGCUGCUUGCCUAGGAAGUAUUGGAAAAGAGGCAUUCUUUCAGCAUGGAGACUGCUAAACCAGAAGUGUGUUAGCUGACGAGGGCAUCCACAUGGAGAGAACAUGCCAGGCAAUAAGCAGAGAUGAAGACAGAGUUAAGAGAUGCAGAGGCUGAGCAGGAGUGACCAUCCAGGCCUGGAGCCAGUAACACCAGAAGCGCUCAUCAUGGGAGAGGUCUGAAGCCGUCAGCUGCCAGCAGCACCCCUUCACUGAUUGGUCCUGCCCCUCAGUUCAUAUGAGGGUGAAGGGAGAGUUCUCUACCUUGGCAAAUGGCACCACCAUCCAUCUGACUGGACCAAGCACAAGCUUGAGAGCCACGCUUGACACCUCCUUUCCCUUCAGCACCUCCCUACCACCACAUUCAAUCUGUCCAGGAAUAGCAGGAGAUAGAAGGAACACAGGGGAGGCAGGAGAGCAAGGCUGUUGCCCUCAUCCGCUACCUCCUGGCUGACUGAGGGCGGAUGUGUUAGAUAAAUCUGAGAACUCAAAGAAGCGCAGAGGUUCUAUUCUGCAACCCAGUAAAGAUGAAGAGGAGGAAGCUAAUUCCCAGGUGCCUACACUGAGCUGACAGACAGAUGCCUCUCCCUGGUAGCUCCAGCACAGUAAAGCAGAGGCAGACUCCAAGGCUCCCUUUGCUGAGUUGCCUUUGCUUCCAGUGAAGGAGAACCCAAGAGUCCAGCAAAGGAGUUCUUGACAUGACAAGGGUGGAGGAUCUGAGCACCCAGGGCCACUGAAUGGAGCAGCCAAGCCAAAGCCAAAUGGGAAUCUCAUCAGAGUUGUCUGAUGCCAGAGAGAGCCAAGGUCGGGAUGAGUCAGCCAGAGGGUGCUCCCAGGCUCUGAUCCAGCUGAGAGGGGCCAGAUCAUGUGUUACACUUCUUCAGAGGCCAGAGGAAGCACAGGGCACAGGCACAAAGACCCUAAAUCUUCCCCAUGGCCCUCGUGAGGUUGCAGAAACCACCACCACCCCUCACACGUAUAUCUGGACACACCAGAUGAGAAUAUACCAGAAGGAAGAAGAAUAUUAUCUGAAAGAUUGAGCCAUUUGUCCAAAAGAGAUUAAUCUAAAUAUACUUUAAUAUUGGUUUUAAUAUUGAUUUAAGCCUUAAUUUGAACACAAAAUUUCUCUUUGCUAACCAGCUGGGUGAGGACUUUAAAGGAAGGUUAUAUUAGGUGGAGAAAAAGUAAAGUAUGUUUUCUCUGCAUAUCCAAAUCAUAGUACAAAGUAAAUACUGUGCAUCUGACACACAGGAAUAAAAGGACCAUGAAAUCACUUGUCAAAAAUCUUAGCAGUUUAGAAAAACCAGGCAGAAAGUUGCUGCAGGGUCGGAUGGGUCACUUUCUUAAAGUUCCCACAGAUAGGGCUGACUGCAGCUUUCACAACUGUAGAAAACACAGGAGGAAAUUCAAAGAGCGAACCACGAUGGUGGAUUCCUAACUCUUGGUCAGACCCGCCCUCUAAGUGGUAGCUCAGCUAGUCUGCCCAUGGUGGGCACCAGGCAACUUCCAUGGAGAGGGGAUAUGCCCACUCACGUCCCCUCCUGGUCAAUACUUAUAGGCAUGUCAGCAAAAAGACUUGUUUAAAAAUAAAGAGUCCACAAUAUAUGAUGACCCAUACACAUGUUUCAAACUGUGAAGCAUAAAUAUACUUAUUGUAGGGAAAAAAUAGUACACAAUGAAAACAACCACAUGGGCCUGGGGUUCACUACCUGCCCCUUUCCACUAGGACAAGACAAAAGGCCUUUGACAUUCUCUUCCCUGAAUCUGUUCUGCAAUCUCUUCUUCAGUUAUCCUUGUGAUUCAUCCAUGGAUCUCCUGCAUGCUGUGCUGGGUCACGUGCCACCAGGAUCCUUCACAGGGCACAUCCUGUCAUUGUAUCAGGUCUGAAGCAGUAAUAGUCAGUGAGCUCUCUCGGUCCUUCCUCCUGCAAAGUCUUCAUCUUCCUAACUCUGACCUUUACUGUUCUUGUUUCUAAUUGCACAACAAAUGUAAUGUGUAGGCUGUAUUUCUCCUCCAGUGAAAAUCCACUUGGUCCAGUGCCUGCUGCUAGUAAACCUAGCUAGUAAGGUUAGAAAACCUCUGCUCUUCAUCAUGCUGAAAGAGAUGGCCUUUAUAGCCCUCUUUAACUGCUGAUGGGAAUAGGACAACUUCUAGGCUGGCUGCCUUGGCUCCCCCAUCCCCGUUAUUCAUAAGGUUUUACUCUAAAUCGUUCCUGCACCCCACUGUUAAGUGUCCUGCCAGAUGCAUCAAGGGGAUUUACAAUCACCCAUUUGUGCACUCCAUGGACUUUCCUGCUUAGUUCUGUAAUUCCCUCUGCUUACGUAGAUGAAACCCAUUGUUACACUUGUGCGCUUACCCAUGUGCUUAGUGCUAGCAAUUCUGAGCACUCGAUAUUGUCAUGAGAAAAUACUACAAGAUUGCAACCCAGCUCUCUGCACAGGCAGGCCUAUCCUCCCCGCAGUAGCAUAUGAGCUCCAUGAAAGCUACAAUCUAGAAUGCUACAUCCCAGUGUCUUGAACUGUGCCUGACAUGUAGUAGGCACCCAAUAGACAUGGGUGGAACAGAUGAUUGAGUUGAUGAGCAGAAAAAAACAAGAGGCAUGUUGCAUCUUCUGUGCACAAAAUCCCACCAGCAAAGGAACCUAUGUACAAGCUUCUUUUUUUGUUAAAGGCCUCCCCUUACACCUCGCCAACCCCACACCCUUUUUCAAUACACAAUCUCCUGGAAAAAAAAAAAUCCCUGUGUGAUCUUUAAAUAUUACCCUUGUGCUGGCACCUUCUUUGCCAAAGGCAGGAAAAACUCGUCUAUCAAGUUUCCCUUCAUUUGAGCAGAGGCAACUAUCUACAGCUUUGGAACUAUGGCUCUCUCACCAGCAGCUGAGCACUUUGAUCUUCAUGCCAUUCCCCGAAAUAAAGAGGCAGAAGCCAAACCGUAGCCUGGUCUCAGCUCUCCUAGCCUCAAGCUGCAUGAGGCAGAACCAUCCAAAGGGCCAGGCAUCCAUGGACAUCUGGCAGAGAGGGCGCAACCCCCUCUGGGCUCCAGCAGCUCUCAGCGGUGCUCCUUUGAGGUUCUUUGUCCCCAGGGAGUCUAGUAUGUGUGGCCAAGAGUUUCACUGGCUCUUUGACUGUAGCAAGCAUCUUAACUUAGUUAAACCUCAGUUUUCUUAUCUAUAAAAUUAGAAUAACAAUAGUAUCUGCCUCACAGGAUCAUUAUGAGAAAUAAAUAAGACAGUAUACACAAAGUGCUUGGCACAAAGUAAGAGCUCAAUAAAUGAUAGCUAUUAUUAUUCCUGCUUGGUAUGAUUUGUUCAUGCACUUUUGUUGUAAACAAAUAAACAAAUGCAACCUGCAAUCUGAAAUAAAUAGAAAAAGCUCACCUAUCAUUAUUAAUUCAUUCAACAAAGACUGUGUCAGGCCCCAGAUGAGACAGGCAAGGUUUUCAAAGUUUUGGUGUUGAGUCUUUAAGUCGUCUGGGUCUUCACUUAAGUUGAUCCCUGGAAUCAUAAGUACUCUCUGUUUGCGUUUCUCUCUCUCAGUGCCCACAACUCAGCUGAAUGUAAUGUUUCAGGACACUUUCCUGAACUGGACACAUCUUAGGCUGGAUCCUUUGGAAGGCAAAUUCUGACAUUAGCGUUUAGGAAAUUUGUAAGAGAGUUCUCUAGGGAUUAAUACCUGUGGAAGAGAGAAGAAGAAAGCAGACUGGUCAGAGGGAGAGUCCAACAAAGCAAUGCAGUCCCAGCAAAGGCCUCAGAAACUCCACAGACAUGUCCCAAAUUGGAGAGAGUGGGCUGGACCUUUAU
Molecule: long non-coding RNA, 4044 nt
Filed under: Homo sapiens (human)
Lineage: Eukaryota; Metazoa; Chordata; Mammalia; Primates; Hominidae
Description: HSALNT0172283
Source: RNAcentral